Molecule: long non-coding RNA, 843 nt
Filed under: Homo sapiens (human)
Lineage: Eukaryota; Metazoa; Chordata; Mammalia; Primates; Hominidae
Description: HSALNT0256634
Source: RNAcentral
GACGGAGUUUCUUCAUGUUGGUCAGGCUGGUCUCGAACUCCCGAUCUCAGGUGAUCUGCCUGCCUCGGCCUCCCAAAGUGCUGGGAUUACAGGCGUGAGCCAUCGCGUCCGGCCGAGUUGCCCACAUAUUUCAUGCGCAAAAUCACAACAAUCCUUUAACAACAGAUUUAUAUGUUACACGGAUGCAUUUCAAUAUUUGAUACCACGUGGGCUGGGGGUCCCGGGCUGCCAGCAGGAGCCAAGAGUCUCCCAGGUCUCCCUCUGUUGCUCGUGGACUGGGGCAUUACCAGGGAACACGGCAGAAUACAGAAAUCAAAAACUCCGAUCUAGAACCAUCUCCUGGCUUUGUGACCGUGAGAUCAACUCCCUUCUCUAAACACUAAUCCCUUCCUCUGAAAAAUUAGAAUUAAAGCCAGGUUCUCCCAGGCAGGUCAGUGAAGAAGGAGGAGCAGGUGCUCACUCGGCUCACGAACUGCUUGGUUGGCCUCUGGCGCCCCCUCGCGGCAGGACGAGAUGGCACACUUUCGGGGCAGGGCCUAGCAUUCAAAUGAGAUGCAAAUCACUCCUCUCGUGCCCAGUCUCCGGAAAAGGUUUCCUAGGAGUCCACGCGUGUCCAUGGAAACUAGCAAGCGUGACUGCGGUGCACGGGAAUCUGGCUGACAGGAAGAAGGAGGCUGGGGGCCUGGGAGGCCAGAGGGUCCUGAAUACUGGAUGACCACCUGAUUUCAUGCUCACCUCGACUUCCAACCUCCAGGUUGGAAAAUUGACCCAGCUCAGGACCCUGGUGCUGCCUGAUGCUUCAUGUUCCAGCAGCCCUCUCUGGACUGCUGUGGCGCAUCUGUG